AUAAAUAAAAUACAGAAGAUAAAUCAAAACACACCUGUAAAAAUUACUAGUCAUCAAUACAAUUGGGAGUCCAGGAGUAUCGAACCAAGUGAAAAUAUGAAUACAAGACAGAACUUUCAAAGAACAAACAACCACCCAAUCGUGCUUUGCUAUCAUUUAACUGACCAAAUACAAACUAAAAACUAAAAAACAUUGACCAAAUACAACAACACAAGGAAAGUUGCUACACACAGAAAUUCCGAGGAAAAUUAGACUAAACGCCUUGUGGAUCCAUCUGUUCUCUCUGGCACAUAGGGCAGCCAAAUUGCGUACUUCCGCUUCCAUCAGAUUCUAUAUGUAGAUUCAUGGGACCCAAGUAUUUGCACAUCAAGAUAAAAGUAUGGCUGGUUUGUCGAAAAACUCUUGAGCAGAACACACACACGGAGAAUGCCAGAGGUAUCAUCGAAAACUGUAUUGGCUGUUUCUUGCCAUUGCUCAAGAAGUUAUAAUGGAGACAGGAAGAGAUGAGAGUUAAUAAAGAACAUAUCAAGCCAAAAGAAUCUGCAAACUCCCACUGUAACUUAUAAUGGUAAUGAUGCUUAUCAUCUGGCCUUCUAGUUUUGUCUCGUAGGAGCAUACACUUCUUGUACGCAAGAUCCGUAAAGCUUAGAAGGACAGAAACAAUAGCCAUAAUCACUCCAUAUUUUGCAGCUUUCACCUUAUGUGGAGAGGUCUGCUCAAAUGCUGCUGAUAUGGCCUCAGCUACGACGGCAAUAAUAGACAGAAUUAUGUCCCACCUGAUCCAUCGAGGCUGGAAUUAGACAACAAAAAUCAUUACCAACAUUCAGAAAAGAAAAGAAAUGAAAAAGAUGAUGACGGACUAGUAAUGCAUAUAUGCAUAUCAAACUUCAUAGAAGAAUAGAGAAGAGAGUAUCUGAUCUUUGCCAAAUUAUCCAUGAAACCUUCGGGCAUUUGGAGGCAGUUUGGUAGGCUUAAGGAAGAAGGGAAGAGAGUAAUCCUUGAUUCCUUCUAAUUGGAAGUGUGAGAAUGCAAAUUCCAAACUGAGGGAAGAAAGGCAGUUUGGCAAGGCUUAGAAAGAAAGGAACAGAGCACACCCUAGAUUCCUUCUAAGUGGAAUAAUUGCGCGAAUGCAAAUUCCUAAUUGGAAAAAUUGUGACCGCAAAUUCCAAAUUGAAGGGAAGAGAGUACACCCUGAAGCCUAUCAGCUUUGAAAUAUUUGCAGUCAAUAGGUCUGAGACAAGAUGUUUGAAUUAUUAUGCACUUUAUUUCGUUCUCUGAGGUAAUUUAUCAUACCAGAAGAGAAAUUUGGAAAAAUGUGUAUUGCGGGAAUCCGCAGUUAAACAAUAAAAAUCCGCACGCGCCAAGGGGGAGAACACGACAGUGUAUUGCGCCAGAACUCAAAGGGCAGCACCCAAGGCAACAAGGGGAAGAAGGCGACAAGAUCCAAACCGUGCUAAGGGAACCACGGCUAUAUUAUAGAAUUUCUCGAGGGGAAGAAGGCAACAAAAAUUGGAACCACAAGGGUGCCAAGGGAACCACAAGGUGCAGGCAACAACUUGGAAGAAGAUAAUAACAACUGUUGGGGAAAGAAAGCGAACCACAAUUUGAACCACAAGGGUGCUAAGGGAAGAGAGUACGCUUUUGAUUCCUUCUAAUGGAACUCCAGACUGCACACUUAAGGCUUUUGAGAGAGAAAUGGCUUUAUGGAU
RNAcentral lists this unclassified non-coding RNA (1709 nucleotides) under Hevea brasiliensis (rubber tree). Lineage: Eukaryota; Viridiplantae; Streptophyta; Magnoliopsida; Malpighiales; Euphorbiaceae. The record is from RNAcentral.